UGCACAGUACUGGAAUAUCUCAGCUAGGCUGGGUCCAGGUGACACAGCAACACAGGUCCCAACAAGUCUGAGGACAUAGCAGCAGUGUGGUGUAGCUUUCAGGGGAUAACUGUCUGUGCCUGUUGAGAAUGUAUGAAUUUUCCUCCAAAUUCUUUUAAAAUUAAUCAAGAGCAGUUCCACCCCUUGUGUAUUCAGGUGUGUGUGUCAAGGUACACCCUCCAACAGGAUCCCCAGGGAUUGGGGCUUUCUACACACUACUGAAGAAAUCCACCCCUGGGACAUCUCAAGUUGUGAAUCAUUUACCUCCAGCCCACUACAAUUGUCAGAGGAAGUAUGGAGCAGUCUUGAAGCCCAGCCAAGGAUACCCGACACCUGCAUGUUGUUAGGAACAGGAUCCGUCUAGAGGAGGGUUCCACGCUGAACAUUCCCUGAGGAGAACCGCCAGAACCGGUUUGGUUGUUGGAAGAUUUACUGACUAGGCACAUACAGUCAAAUGUUCUUGCAUGCACACACACAUUAAUAUCCUUGUUUGUAUCAUGGUUGAAUGCAAUGUAUGUUUAUUAAACUUGAAUGGUAUUGAUAGUGGAUAGAUGACUAGGGAUAGUUGACAGAUCACUCGAAUAGACAUGCUGCAGACAGAGAGGAUCUACAGGCGUGUAUCAGCAUGUAACAACACUGUGCAAGUCUCCUGAAGCUGAAAUUCUGCUCACACAGCCCAUAAACAACCAUAAUGCACUUCAGAUCAAGCCAGAGUGUUUUAAUGACCAACAGAGUAAUAUGACAUGCGUGUUCUCAUCACAGACAUAUCAAAUAAAUACACCUAGCUCUUCUUGUUGAUAAGUGUGGAUAAUACCAGCUCUUUCAAAAACCAAUGCAGGCGAGGCCAGUCUUCCAUAGCUAUUUUAUAUCAUAGACAAGGGCCUGCAGUAUCAACUGCGACAUCAUAGACCAGUUACAGUAUAAUACAUGACAUCACAGACCAGGUACAGUACAAUCAGUGACAUCAUAGACCAGGUACAGUACCAUCUGUGACAUCAUAGACAUUGCCUUCAGCACACAGCUUUACACCUAUGAGGUCUAUGUAGGGCCUAGUAAUGGUGAGUUCUACAGAUGUUCACCCAUUCUCUAAUCAUACUGAAGUAUCUUCUCUACGACUCAUGGUGACUGUCAG
Hypomesus transpacificus is the source of this 1171-nucleotide long non-coding RNA. RefSeq lists it as uncharacterized. Lineage: Eukaryota; Metazoa; Chordata; Actinopteri; Osmeriformes; Osmeridae. The record is from RefSeq and is a predicted model, not a curated record. The transcript has 2 exons.